This 1261-nucleotide ribosomal RNA is filed under the name Staphylococcus hominis. RNAcentral describes it as "partial 23S ribosomal RNA". It matches the Rfam family "Bacterial large subunit ribosomal RNA", at positions 1 to 1263 of the family's 2925-position model. The record is from RNAcentral. Lineage: Bacteria; Bacillati; Bacillota; Bacilli; Caryophanales; Staphylococcaceae.
GAUUAAGUUAUUAAGGGCGCACGGUGGAUGCCUUGGCACUAGAAGCCGAUGAAGGACGUUACUAACGACGAUAUGCUUUGGGUAGCUGUAAGUAAGCGUUGAUCCAGAGAUUUCCGAAUGGGGAAACCCAGCACAAGUUAUGUUGUGUUAUCGACAAGUGAAUUCAUAGCUUGUCAGAAGGCAGACCCGGAGAACUGAAACAUCUUAGUACCCGGAGGAAGAGAAAGAAAAUUCGAUUCCCUGAGUAGCGGCGAGCGAAACGGGAAGAGCCCAAACCAAUAAGCUUGCUUAUUGGGGUUGUAGGACACUCUAUACGGAGUUACAAAGGAAUAUAUUAAACGAAUCAUCUGGAAAGUUGAAUCAAAGAAGGUAAUAAUCCUGUAGUUGAAAAUAUAUUCUCUCUUGAGUGGAUCCUGAGUACGACGGAGCACGUGAAAUUCCGUCGGAAUCUGGGAGGACCAUCUCCUAAGGCUAAAUACUCUCUAGUGACCGAUAGUGAACCAGUACCGUGAGGGAAAGGUGAAAAGUACCCCGGAAGGGGAGUGAAAGAGAACUUGAAACCGUGUGCUUACAAGUAGUCAGAGCCCGUUAAUGGGUGAUGGCGUGCCUUUUGUAGAAUGAACCGGCGAGUUACGAUCUGAUGCAAGGUUAAGCAGAAAAUGUGGAGCCGUAGCGAAAGCGAGUCUGAAUAGGGCGUGUAGUAUUUGGUCGUAGACCCGAAACCAGGUGAUCUACCCAUGGUCAGGUUGAAGUUCAGGUAACACUGAAUGGAGGACCGAACCGACUUACGUUGAAAAGUGAGCGGAUGAACUGUGGGUAGCGGAGAAAUUCCAAUCGAACUUGGAGAUAGCUGGUUCUCUCCGAAAUAGCUUUAGGGCUAGCCUCAAGUGAUGAUUAUUGGAGGUAGAGCACUGUUUGGACGAGGGGCCCCUCUCGGGUUACCGAAUUCAGACAAACUCCGAAUGCCAAUUAAUUUAACUUGGGAGUCAGAACAUGGGUGAUAAGGUCCGUGUUCGAAAGGGAAACAGCCCAGACCACCAGCUAAGGUCCCAAAAUAUAUGUUAAGUGGAAAAGGAUGUGGCGUUGCCCAGACAACUAGGAUGUUGGCUUAGAAGCAGCCAUCAUUUAAAGAGUGCGUAAUAGCUCACUAGUCGAGUGACACUGCGCCGAAAAUGUACCGGGGCUAAACAUAUUACCGAAGCUGUGGAUUGUCCUUUGGACAAUGGUAGGAGAGCGUUCUAAGGGCGUUGAAGCAUGAUCG